RNAcentral lists this long non-coding RNA (886 nucleotides) under Sinocyclocheilus anshuiensis. RNAcentral describes it as "lncRNA (ENSSANG00000036083.1)". The stretch from base 424 to 510 matches the Rfam family "mir-22 microRNA precursor family". Lineage: Eukaryota; Metazoa; Chordata; Actinopteri; Cypriniformes; Cyprinidae. The record is from RNAcentral.
AUUUUGAUUGGUUGGAACCAUUUUGUCCCGCCCCCUUUCUUGGGAGUCGAGGCUGAACGUUGGCUGAAGUGGAAGUCAUUCAUAAUCUACGGAAGACAGUCGUCAUAGCGAACCCUUGACGUCGCGGACCCAGUGGCCAGCUGUUACUAAUCGCGUCACUGCCUCUGCCAGCUGAUCGCAGACGCCGGUAACCGUGAGGCGAGAACGGAGGAAUCACUUUACCGGCCUUACCUUGUCCUCUGGCCUCCACCCCCAAUGCCUGCUGAUUCAUGUCUGCGUGUCUGCGCCGGCUUGCUGGAUGGGGGAGGGUGGAAUGAACGAGGGACACGGAGUACUGAGAAAGAAUGGUAGAUGAUUACCAAACGCAGCACGGGAAGGGAAACAAGACGGAAAGUCUGUAGUGGAUGCUGAUGAGUGAAUAUUGGCUGACCUACUGCAGUUCUUCUCUGGCAAACUUUAUGACCCUGUCCUGACGCUAAAGCUGCCAGCUGAAGAACUGUUGUGGUCAGCUCUACCCAGCAUGCACCAUUUUCAUCCGAGAGUGCUGUGGAUCUUAUUCAUUCUCUGUCGUAGAGCUUUGAUAUUUAAAAAUUCACUUUUUUUUUUUUUUUAUUGAAGCAGAAAAUAUCUUAAAUAGAGAAAUAUUUCUUAAAAAAAUGUAAAGAAAUAUUACCUUUUUGUCGUGAAUUUGAUAAAAAUGUACCAUAUCAAUUUUUAACCAUAUUACCAUAAAAUAUGAAUUUAAAUCCAUGGUCUUUUUUUGUAUUGUAAUAUCAAAAUGAAUAUCAAACUAACUAAUAAAUUAGUGUUUUAUAAUGUAUAUUUGAUGUAUGUAGUAUAUUAUGCAUGGUAGAAGUCAUUGAAAAUUAUUUUCUGUACAUUUAGC